This 424-nucleotide ribosomal RNA is filed under the name uncultured bacterium. RNAcentral describes it as "bacterial SSU rRNA". It matches the Rfam family "Bacterial small subunit ribosomal RNA", at positions 29 to 496 of the family's 1533-position model. The record is from RNAcentral.
AACGAACGCUGGCGGCAGGCUUAACACAUGCAAGUCGAACGCCCCGCAAGGGAGUGGCAGACGGGUGAGUAACGCGUGGGAACGUGCCUUUCGGUUCGGAACAGACCCGGGAAACUGGGAGUUAAUACCGGAUACGUCCUUAGGGAGAAAGAUUUAUCGCCGAAAGAUCGGCCCGCGUCUGAUUAGCUAGUUGGGCGGGGGUAAGUGGCCCACCAAGGCGACGAUCAGCAGCUGGUCUGAGAGGANGAUCAGCCACACUGGGACUGAGACACGGCCCAGACUCCUACGGGAGGCAGCAGUGGGGAAUAUUGGACAAUGGGCGGCAAGCCUGAUCCAGCCAUGCCGCGUGAAGUGAUGAAGGCCCUAGGGUUGUAAAGCUCUUUGUGCGGGAAGAUAAUGACGGUACCGCAAGAAUAAGCCCCGG